RNAcentral lists this ribosomal RNA (441 nucleotides) under Triticum aestivum (bread wheat). Its description in RNAcentral is "partial small subunit ribosomal RNA". The record is from RNAcentral. Lineage: Eukaryota; Viridiplantae; Streptophyta; Magnoliopsida; Poales; Poaceae.
AUGCUGUCUACUGGCGUUCCCCUCACACUCUCACCGCUCGGCCCUCUCAUCGGCCUCACGUCCCCUUGGCGGCGGCGCCCUCCCCAUCGCUAUCCCCAACCCCGGCAGCAACCUCGUUUCCCUCAACAGCCAUAUCCUGCUCACGCUCACAUCGUCCUCCUCGACCUGCUCCUCCUGCCCGCGCUCCUCUCCAACUUCCUCCGCGCCGGCGUCCACCACGCCUCCGCACACAGCCUUCUCACCGAGGCAAGGGGCUUCCACUUCCGCUCCUCCCUCGUCGACCUCCCCACCGUCUCCGCCGCCCGCACCCUCCACAUCCUCUGCGCGUACACGGCGUGCGGGGGCGACGCGGCCUAUCGGUGGGUGGCGGCGGCCUGCAGCGUCAGCUCCCUCUUCUACGUCCUCGCCAAGGCCGUCGGCAGAUCGUCCAUGCGGCGGUAG